This 253-nucleotide ribosomal RNA is filed under the name uncultured bacterium. Its description in RNAcentral is "partial 16S ribosomal RNA". It matches the Rfam family "Bacterial small subunit ribosomal RNA", at positions 524 to 776 of the family's 1533-position model. The record is from RNAcentral.
UACGUAGGGCGCAAGCGUUGUCCGGAAUUAUUGGGCGUAAAGGGCUCGUAGGCGGUCUGUCGCGUCGGAUGUGAAAACCCAGGGCUCAACCCUGGGCCUGCAUUCGAUACGGGCAGACUGGAGUACUGCAGGGGAGACUGGAAUUCCUGGUGUAGCGGUGAAAUGCGCAGAUAUCAGGAGGAACACCGGUGGCGAAGGCGGGUCUCUGGGCCGUAACUGACGCUGAGGAGCGAAAGCAUGGGGAGCGAACAGG